GACGAACGCUGGCGGCGUGCUUAACACAUGCAAGUCGAACGGAAAGGCCCUGCUUUUGUGGGGUGCUCGAGUGGCGAACGGGUGAGUAACACGUGAGUAACCUGCCCUUGACUUUGGGAUAACUUCAGGAAACUGGGGCUAAUACCGGAUAGGAGCUCCUGCUGCAUGGUGGGGGUUGGAAAGUUUCGGCGGUUGGGGAUGGACUCGCGGCUUAUCAGCUUGUGGGUGGGGUAGUGGCUUACCAAGGCUUUGGCGGGUAGCCGGCCUGAGAGGGUGACCGGCCACAUUGGGGCUGAGAUACGGCCCAGACUCCUACGGGAGGCAGCAGUGGGGAAUAUUGCACAAUGGGCGGAAGCCUGAUGCAGCAACGCCGCGUGCGGGAUGACGGCCUUCGGGUUGUAAACCGCUUUCGCCUGUGACGAAGCGUGAGUGACGGUAAUGGGUAAAGAAGCACCGGCUAACUACGUG
RNAcentral lists this ribosomal RNA (468 nucleotides) under uncultured bacterium. RNAcentral describes it as "partial 16S ribosomal RNA". It matches the Rfam family "Bacterial small subunit ribosomal RNA", at positions 28 to 507 of the family's 1533-position model. The record is from RNAcentral.